This 434-nucleotide ribosomal RNA is filed under the name uncultured soil bacterium. RNAcentral describes it as "bacterial SSU rRNA". It matches the Rfam family "Bacterial small subunit ribosomal RNA", at positions 26 to 473 of the family's 1533-position model. The record is from RNAcentral.
AGACUGAACGCUGGCGGCAUGCCUAACACAUGCAAGUCGAACGGGAGUAGCAAUACUCUAGUGGCGGACGGGUGAGGAAUACGUAGGAAUUUGCCCUUAAGUGGGGGAUAACCCGGGGAAACCCGGAUUAAUACCGCAUGACCUCGAAAGAGCAAAGUGGGGGAUCGCAAGACCUCACGCUUUUGGAGGAGCCUACGUCGGAUUAGCUAGUUGGUGAGGUAAUGGCUCACCAAGGCGACGAUCCGUAACUGGUCUGAGAGGAUGAUCAGUCACACCGGAACUGAGACACGGUCCGGACUCCUACGGGAGGCAGCAGUGGGGAAUAGUUGGACAAUGGGCGCAAGCCUGAUCCAGACAAGUGCCGCGUCGUGUGAAGAGCCGUUGGUUGUAAAGCGUACUUUAAGUAGGUAAGAAAAACGUUCGACGUACGUAAC